Molecule: non-coding RNA, 29 nt
Filed under: Homo sapiens (human)
Lineage: Eukaryota; Metazoa; Chordata; Mammalia; Primates; Hominidae
Source: RNAcentral
CGAUCCAGGCCCUGGACGUGGUCAUGAGG